GCCCGCGCCCCUGCCGCAGCACGCCGCAGUCCGGCCUCCCGCCCAGGCGCAGGGAAGGAAGGCCAGCGGCCUCGUCACGUGUCCCGGGCGAUCGCGAAACAGUUCCGGUGGUGAGGCGUCCUUUCCAAAUAUAAGAGGAAUAAAGAAGUCACUUCCUCAGCUGUCAUCAUCUUCCAACAGAUUGAGCAAGAAUAUUUCGAGCACUGCAGAAAAGACAGUCCGUCAAACCCUAGAUGAUGAUCAGCCGUGUUAUUUUUUCAAGAGAGGGAGUAGGGUGAAUGAAUCUUAUCAGAAAAGCAGAAAUUCCGGGAUCAGGGAUCGAACCUGUACCAUAGCAGUGACAAUGCCGGACCUUAACCCACUGAGCCACCAGGGAACUCCGUGUGACUACUUCUUGAUAUACGUUUCAGGCCAGAGGAGUCUCUGUCCGCACGUUGCACACAUAUCCGUAUCCUCCGAGGCUAAGCCCGCAGGGUGUGGGCCGAGCUGCUGCCUCUCCCAUCAUGCACCUGUGCAGGCCGGGGUUUUCCUGUCCCGGAGCCGUGAAGAAACAGCCAGGUGACAUCGUGGAUCUUCCUCGUUUGACUUGAAGUUGACCGCUUCAUUCCAGGGAAUGGUCAGCGUGUCACGUGUUACGACCCGUUUUAAAAGCCUGAAAAAAUGACGUUUCUUGUUCACUUUGGGGCCUCGGGUUGGUUUAUUGUGAUUGGAUCAGAGAACCUAAUGAAUAUAGGUUCGCUGCAGAACAUAAGCACAAUUUUAUGUUUUCUGAUGCCCACAUCUUGGUGCGCUAAAUGCUGCAUAGGAAUCUUGCCAUUCAAGCUGGACGGCAUGGGAGGGUUGAGUCAUAAACUCAUGCAGUUCAUCAAAUCUAAGCCAUUGAGUCUUGUGACGUGAGUCAUUGUGUUUCUAAGAAGUGCCUUUUCAUUUCUGUGGUUGUUUACAUACAGUGUUGUAUUUAAACCAAUUAAAAUAAUCCAAUUAAAUAAAUGGUAGCAAAAAAAAAAAAACAACCCUCAAGCUUAGAGAAUGUAAAAAGAAUUGCGUCAGGUGGAAAAUGUGUAAAAGCAUAAACAAUGAACUAUAAAAAUAUCAGUAUUAGCUAUAGUUGUUUAGGUUUAGACUCUCUCUCAAAUCCUUAGUGACUAAAUAGGCUGAAGGUUUGUAACUCACUUGGCUAGGGUGGCACUGGUGGCCGUGGUGGACGGGGAGACCGGAGACCGUUUGCAGAUUUCUAGCGGUUGUUAGGCCUACUUGGUUAGUUUCCAGAAAAAAAGAAUUUCUACCUUCAAGGCUUAAAUAUUGCCUAUUUCCUCUUUCCGUUAUGCUCAUUUAUGUGAAUAGUUAAAUAAAAAUGUAAAACUCUUGGUAGUACUGCAUUUCAGAGUAACAGAGAAGCAGUUUUGAUCAUUUAUUGAUAUACAUGUACAGAGCACUAUUCAAAAUGGCCUGAAAAUAUUCAGCAGGUUUGUUAUUUGCUGUGUGAUUAUCAUAGGCUCGGUUUUGUUUAUAAUAAAAUGAUACACUUAAGUUUUGUGAAUCUAGAUGUUUUUUCCUUCCUUGAGAUUAAACACUAGAAAAAUAUUGUCUGGA
Molecule: long non-coding RNA, 1593 nt
Filed under: Sus scrofa (pig)
Lineage: Eukaryota; Metazoa; Chordata; Mammalia; Artiodactyla; Suidae
Description: lncRNA (ENSSSCG00015004593.1)
Source: RNAcentral